UUCUACCAUACUCAUUACUAUUAAAACAAGUUCCCACCUUUACCUGAAUUCCUUGUAAAAAUUCUAAAUUGAAACCUUCACUCUCUUCUCUUGAUCACUUUUCCUAUUGCCUCUUUCCUCUUUUUUCUAAAAUGUCACGUAUUGUGAAAAUCUCCCUAAACCUAGGUUCCUCUUAACUUUUUAUUUUUCGGGUAAACUUUUCCAAAUCACCAACUUGACCCAAACUUAAUUAUCUCAUAUUCAUUCCUCCCACUAACUUUCUCAAUUUCUCAUAUUUGGCUCAAUUAUUCUAUCUUCACUAAUUAAUAUAAUAAAAAUAAAUAAAACAUUAUUUUUAAUUGUCAAAACAAUUCUAAAUUAUUCUACUUACUUCUAUCAUCCCUUUAUACCCCUAACUCAAGGAUACAUAUUGCGCCAACACCCAUCCAUAAAAUAAAUCAUCAAAAUCUAU
This 451-nucleotide long non-coding RNA is filed under the name Lathyrus oleraceus (garden pea). RNAcentral's name for it is "Pisum sativum (pea) long non-coding RNA (PSAT_LNC010794)". Lineage: Eukaryota; Viridiplantae; Streptophyta; Magnoliopsida; Fabales; Fabaceae. The record is from RNAcentral.